GUGGUGUUUGGUUUGUUACGGNUGGCUGGCUGUUUGCAUUUGCACCAACGGUCACCUGUUCUUACCACUUCAUUAGUACGACAAGGCUUGUACGGUCUUGUGCGUAUUGUGGGCUUUCUGUGUUGCAUACCUGUUUGAUGGUAACCUUUGGACAGAUUUGAUGGCUGUUUCGUCUUGCGCUGCAUCAGUGGUGCGAGGCGAACCUUGAAGUGAUCCCUUUGAUCCAUUACGAUGACGUGCAUGCGUUGAUGUUGUGGCUCAUUGGACGUUGCUUGGUAUCCUGUGUACGGAACAUAAAUUGGGCAUGAGGUCUUUAUUGAGAUCUUUGUUUGUCCUAGUUUAGCGUUUGCGCUUCUCUAAAACGAUCGCUUGUCGUGUGUGGGCUUGUCCCUAUGCGGCUGGUAUGUCGAAGAGGAAUGC
This 420-nucleotide unclassified non-coding RNA is filed under the name Cotula coronopifolia (golden buttons). RNAcentral describes it as "partial external transcribed spacer". Lineage: Eukaryota; Viridiplantae; Streptophyta; Magnoliopsida; Asterales; Asteraceae. The record is from RNAcentral.